Molecule: ribosomal RNA, 372 nt
Filed under: uncultured bacterium
Lineage: Bacteria
Description: bacterial SSU rRNA
Rfam family: Bacterial small subunit ribosomal RNA
Source: RNAcentral
UACGGAGGAUCCAAGCGUUAUCCGGAUUCAUUGGGUUUAAAGGGUGCGUAGGUGGAAUAGUAAGUCAGUGGUGAAAGCCUGUUGCUUAACAACAGAACUGCCAUUGAUACUGCUAAUCUUGAGUACAUCUGAAGUGGGCGGAAUGUGUCAUGUAGCGGUGAAAUGCUUAGAUAUGACACAGAACACCGAUUGCGAAGGCAGCUCACUAAACUGUAACUGACACUGAGGCACGAAAGCGUGGGGAUCAAACAGGAUUAGAUACCCUGGUAGUCCACGCCGUAAACGAUGAUUACUAGAUGUGUGCGAUACACUGCACGCGUCUUAGCGAAAGUGAUAAGUAAUCCACCUGGGGAGUACGGUCGCAAGACUGAA